GAAAAGAAAUCAGUUCAGCACUAAGUCACUUUGUCUUUAUGGCAAAUGUGAGAUGCAGUGUAUGGAAUGUCAAAUUUCUAGUAUGAGAAAUUAACGAUUUAAGUCCUUCUUAAAUGAGGCCAUUUACCCAUAGAGGGUGCCAGGCCCGUAUAACGUUAAUGAUUACUAGAUGGCAUUUCCAAAGAGUCGUGUUGCUUGAUAGUGCAGCACUAAGUGGGUGGUAAACUCCAUCUAAAACUAAAUAUAACCAUGAGACCGAUAGUAAACAAGUACCGUGAGGGAAAGUUGAAAAGAACUCUGAAUAGAGAGUUAAAUAGUACGUGAAACUGCUUAGAGGUUAAGCCCGAUGAACCUGAAUAUCCAUUAUAGAAAAUUCAUCAUUAUGAUUUUAAUAUUAAUAAUAUUAUAAUAAUGGUGUGCAUUUUUUCUAUAACGGACAUUGUAAUCUAUUAACAUAAAUAUAUUUAUCAUAAGAUCAAUGAUGCGUAAGUUUAUUCAAAUUAUUUUGCUUGCAAUUUAACAUAGAAUAAAUGCUCUUGAUUUGAUAAAGUGUUGAUAGAUUUAUUGUAUAUAGUGCUUAAAUAUUUAUAUUUUAUAAUAGCAUAUUAAUCAUUGAUUUUUAUGUUUAUUAUAUGCACUUAUAUGAUUAACAAUGCGAAAGAUUCAGGAUACCUUCGGGACCCGUCUUGAAACACGGACCAAGGAGUCUAACAUAUUUGCAAGUUAUUGGGUAUCAAAACCUAAUAGCGAAAUUAACAUAACUUUAAUGGGAUUAGUUUUUAGAUUAUUUAUAGUCUAUUAAUUCAAUCCCGGGGCGUUCUAUCAGUUAUGUAUAAUAAUAUUUAUAUUAUUUAUACCUCUAACUAGAGCGUACCUUGAGCAUAUAUGCUGUGACCCGAAAGAUGGUGAACUAUACUUGAUCAGGUUGAAGUCAGGGGAAACCCUGAUGGAAGACCGAAACAGUUCUGACGUGCAAAUCGAUUGUCAGAAUUGAGUAUAGGGGCGAAAGACCAAUCGAACCAUCUAGUAGC
This 1031-nucleotide ribosomal RNA is filed under the name Sarcophaga soror. RNAcentral's name for it is "eukaryotic LSU rRNA". It matches the Rfam family "Eukaryotic large subunit ribosomal RNA", at positions 95 to 951 of the family's 3401-position model. Lineage: Eukaryota; Metazoa; Arthropoda; Insecta; Diptera; Sarcophagidae. The record is from RNAcentral.